RNAcentral lists this ribosomal RNA (933 nucleotides) under uncultured archaeon. RNAcentral describes it as "bacterial SSU rRNA". It matches the Rfam family "Archaeal small subunit ribosomal RNA", at positions 1 to 929 of the family's 1478-position model. The record is from RNAcentral.
UUCCGGUUGAUCCUGCCGGACCCGACUGCUAUUUGGGUGAGGAUAAGCCAUGCGAGUCGAAUGGGAUACCUAAAUUUCCCAUGGCAAACUGCUCAGCAACACAUGAUCAACUUACCCUAUAGAGAAACAUAACCUCGGGAAACUGAGGAUAAUAAUUCAUAAUUGAAAAGGCUUGGAAAAGUUUUUCAAUUAAAGGUUAAGAAAAAUGGUUCUUAGCCGCUAUAGGAUAGGAUCGUGCUCGAUUAUGGUUGCUGGUGAGGUAACGGCUCACCAAGCCGAUAAUCGAUAGGGGCCGUGAGAGCGGGAGCCCCGAGAUGGGUACUGAGACAACGACCCAGGCCUUACGAGGCGCAGCAGGUACGAAACCUCCGCAAUACACGAAAGUGUGACGGGGUUACCCAAAGUGUUCAAUUUUGAACUGUGGUAGGUGAGUAAUGUUCCCUACUAGAAAGGAGAGGGCAAGGCUGGUGCCAGCCGCCGCGGUAAAACCAGCUCUUCAAGUGGUCGGGAUAAUUAUUGGGCUUAAAGUGUCCGUAGCCGGUUUAGUAAGUUCCUGGUAAAAUCGGGUAGCUUAACUAUCUAUAUGCUAGGAAUACUGCUAUACUAGAGGGCGGGAGAGGUCUGAGGUACUACAGGGGUAGGGGUGAAAUCUUAUAAUCCUUGUAGGACCACCAGUGGCGAAGCGUCAGACUGGAACGCGCCUGACGGUGAAGGACGAAAGCCAGGGGAGCGAACCGGAUUAGAUACCCGGGUAGUCCUGGCCGUAAACGAUGCAUACUAGGUGAUGGCACGGCCGUGAGCCGUGUCAGUGCCGUAGGGAAACCGCUAAGUGUGCCGCCUGGAAGUACCGUCGCAAGCUAAAACUUAAGAAUUGGCCGGGGAGCACCACAAGGGUGAAUCUGCGGUUCAAUUGAAUUCAACGCGGGAUCGUCG